This 301-nucleotide ribosomal RNA is filed under the name uncultured bacterium. RNAcentral's name for it is "partial 16S ribosomal RNA". It matches the Rfam family "Bacterial small subunit ribosomal RNA", at positions 509 to 809 of the family's 1533-position model. The record is from RNAcentral.
CAGCAGCCACGGUAAUACAGAGGGUGCGAGCGUUAAUCGGAUUUACUGGGCGUAAAGCGUGCGUAGGCGGCUUUUUAAGUCGGAUGUGAAAUCCCUGAGCUUAACUUAGGAAUUGCAUUCGAUACUGGGAAGCUAGAGUAUGGGAGAGGAUGGUAGAAUUCCAGGUGUAGCGGUGAAAUGCGUAGAGAUCUGGAGGAAUACCGAUGGCGAAGGCAGCCAUCUGGCCUAAUACUGACGCUGAGGUACGAAAGCAUGGGGAGCAAACAGGAUUAGAUACCCCGGUAGUCCCUGUCUCUUAUAA